RNAcentral lists this ribosomal RNA (373 nucleotides) under uncultured bacterium. Its description in RNAcentral is "bacterial SSU rRNA". It matches the Rfam family "Bacterial small subunit ribosomal RNA", at positions 30 to 407 of the family's 1533-position model. The record is from RNAcentral.
AUUGAACGCUGGCGGUAUGCCUUACACAUGCAAGUCGAACGGUAGAGGGGCAACCCUUGAGAGUGGCGAACGGGUGAGUAAUACAUCGGAACGUGCCUAGUCGUGGGGGAUAACGUAGCGAAAAGCUACGCUAAUACCGCAUAUUCUGUGAGCAGGAAAGCAGGGGAUCGCAAGACCUUGCGCUGAUUGAGCGGCCGAUGUCAGAUUAGCUAGUUGGUGAGGUAAAAGGCUCACCAAGGCGACGAUCUGUAGCGGGUCUGAGAGGAUGAUCCGCCACACUGGAACUGAGACACGGUCCAGACUCCUACGGGAGGCAGCAGUGGGGAAUUUUGGACAAUGGGUGCAAGCCUGAUCCAGCCAUGCCGCGUGAGUG